Molecule: long non-coding RNA, 1631 nt
Organism: Sinocyclocheilus anshuiensis
Lineage: Eukaryota; Metazoa; Chordata; Actinopteri; Cypriniformes; Cyprinidae
Source: Ensembl
CAAAGCCUCAAAAGCACAUCCACCACCUCCACUGAUUUAGAGCUACAAGCACUCACACUUGGCAGCGGGUCCAGUAGCAUAGCCACAAGGAGAGCUCAUCGCAGAAGGAACUCACGCUCUAGGAUCUUUAAGCCAAAUCCACAUGAUGAGCUCCGACGGUAUUCUGGGGCUUGGCCAGGGGACCAGUACCGUGAUCAGGAAACCCAAACGAGCCCUGAGCCCACAAAGAGCAAUGCAAAUUCAGGCCCUGCCAAUACAGAAGCACAAGAUGCUCCUGCUGCCCCAGAGGUAACAACUCCUGCUGAGACUACAUCGGUGGCUCCAGGGGCUGCCCCAGGGGCCAUUGGGGCUUCGUCAGCUCCACCGGCUCCAUCGGUUCCAUCAGUUCCACCGACUCCAGCAGCUCCACCGGCUUCAGGAGCUCCUGACCCCAGCACCCCUUACGGGUAUCCCAUGAAGGGCCAGAAAAGCCUAAAACCAUCCAGUAACAGUGCUUUUUCACGGACAGGUACCUUCUCCAAGAGCACAGGUUCUCACAGACCUCCAUUACAUCCCCCAUCACACCCUCCACCCCCUCCUCCAACCCAACCUCCAUCUCAACCUCCUCCUCCUCCACCAACACAGCCCCCAGCUCAAUCCCCACCAUCAGAUCUGACUGAAGAGGCAAAGUCAGCCACAGGGCCAAACCCAGAGGCAUUUAGCCAGUUCUUGCUAAAGCCAGUGUGCCGGCGGCCGUGGGAUACCGUUGAGGAUCUUGAGACCAUCAAUAAGGAGGCGCAAGACCAAGCAGGUAAACGCCCCAGUGUGGACCAGUGCAUUGAGGAUCUUAAUGAGGCCUACAAAGAUAUCCUUGAGCUCAGCACUGCCAGCAAUAACCUUCCCAACCGCUCCUCCAUGCAAAUCCCUGACCGCAUUAAAUCCAGGUUAUCUUCAGAUUCACUUGGAAUUCCUGCAACUGCUCUUCGACCAAGCUUGGUGCCUGGAAGUGACCCAGAAUACCGGGAGGUGAAGAGUGCCUUUUCCAGACCAUCAACUGGGAAGAGUGUGAGCUUCAGCAAACAGCUGAGAGAGGAGAUUUGUCCUGCUCCUCCCCCAUCAGAACCAGGUUUCAGAGAUUACAAAACAGUCAUGUCCCAGAUUACCCAACGCAAAGCCUGCAGAUCAGUGAAGCUGGAUAUCCCAGUCCCCAAAGAGACCCAAAGAGAUGACGAUUUGACUGCACAAACCUCCUCCACCUCUUCCAUGGCAGCCGAGCUCCCAUGGGCAGACAGACAGCCCAUGCAAGAUGCCUCCACUCUAACCAGCCCCCCAGACUAUGAGCACAUCUGUCAAACUCUUCAAAUGGCCCGUGAAUCUGGGGCUGUUAGCCGAGCUUCUAUAAAAUCCAAACCAGGAAGUGCCAUGAGCAUCGAAACCCCACAGCAUGUGCCCAUACCUGGUAGGCCUCCCGUUGAUUCUGAGCAGCCAUGUUGUUCUUCAGCAUUAGAAGUGAGACAGGAGCCAAUGGCAUUAUUCAGGGAGGAAAGGAGCUCAGGCUUUAGGAGGGUAACAAGCCACACUAACAGGUUCCUUAGUAACAGGGGUGUGCUCGGUAGCCUUGCAACCGGAAAGCCUGUUGGUGACAAAGCAGG